This 266-nucleotide ribosomal RNA is filed under the name Aricia agestis (brown argus). Its description in RNAcentral is "partial 12S ribosomal RNA". Lineage: Eukaryota; Metazoa; Arthropoda; Insecta; Lepidoptera; Lycaenidae. The record is from RNAcentral.
AAAAAAAUUUUUAUAGUUUUAAUAUUUUAUUUUAAAUAUAAUUUACAUACAAAUUUUAGUGUUAAAUAUUAAUUAUUUUAAAAAUAAAUAAUAUGAUAAAGUAGUAAUUAACUUUAAAUUAUUUAAGAAAUUAAGAUUUAGUAAUUUGAAAAUAAAUAACUAAUUUUGUGCCAGCAGUUGCGGUUAUACAAAAAUUUAAUUAAAAUUUUUCAGUAAAUAAUAAAUAAUAAAAUUAUAAUUAAAUUAAAAAUUAAAUUAUUAAGUGA